GCGGAUGUAGUUUAGUGGUAAAACCUCAGCCUUCCAAGCUGAUGAUGGGGGUUCGAUUCCCCCCAUCCGCU
This 71-nucleotide transfer RNA is filed under the name Moorena producens 3L. RNAcentral's name for it is "Moorea producens 3L tRNA-Gly". It matches the Rfam family "tRNA". From Rfam's summary of the family: Transfer RNA (tRNA) molecules are approximately 80 nucleotides in length. Their secondary structure includes four short double-helical elements and three loops (D, anti-codon, and T loops). RNAcentral also lists the same sequence under 24 other names. The record is from RNAcentral. Lineage: Bacteria; Bacillati; Cyanobacteriota; Cyanophyceae; Coleofasciculales; Coleofasciculaceae.